This 471-nucleotide ribosomal RNA is filed under the name uncultured Alphaproteobacteria bacterium. RNAcentral describes it as "bacterial SSU rRNA". It matches the Rfam family "Bacterial small subunit ribosomal RNA", at positions 9 to 524 of the family's 1533-position model. Lineage: Bacteria; Pseudomonadati; Pseudomonadota; Alphaproteobacteria. The record is from RNAcentral.
GAGUUUGAUCGUGGCUCAGAGCGAACGCUGGCGGCAGGCUUAACACAUGCAAGCCGAGCGGGCGUAGCAAUACGUCAGCGGCAGACGGGUGAGUAACGCGUGGGAACGUACCUUUUGGUUCGGAACAACACAGGGAAACUUGUGCUAAUACCGGAUAAGCCCUUACGGGGAAAGAUUUAUCGCCGAAAGAUCGGCCCGCGUCUGAUUAGCUAGUUGGUGAGGUAAUGGCUCACCAAGGCGACGAUCAGUAGCUGGUCUGAGAGGAUGAUCAGCCACAUUGGGACUGAGACACGGCCCAAACUCCUACGGGAGGCAGCAGUGGGGAAUAUUGGACAAUGGGCGCAAGCCUGAUCCAGCCAUGCCGCGUGAGUGAUGAAGGCCCUAGGGUUGUAAAGCUCUUUUGUGCGGGAAGAUAAUGACGGUACCGCAAGAAUAAGCCCCGGCUAACUUCGUGCCAGCCGCCGCCGUAAG